This 137-nucleotide small RNA is filed under the name Alloalcanivorax venustensis. RNAcentral describes it as "t44 RNA". It matches the Rfam family "t44 RNA". From Rfam's summary of the family: This family consists of a number of bacterial RNA genes of between 135 and 170 bases in length. The t44 gene is found between the map and rpsB genes in all species in the full alignment apart from Shigella flexneri. Lineage: Bacteria; Pseudomonadati; Pseudomonadota; Gammaproteobacteria; Oceanospirillales; Alcanivoracaceae. RNAcentral also lists the same sequence under 1 other name. The record is from RNAcentral.
GUGUCGGCGAAGGGAAAUCACACACGUUCCGUCACAUGGCCCUGGGUGCCUUCCUGCUUGAUCACUGUCACCGCGACGAAAGCGCGGCGGCACAGAGUAGAGGGGGUUGGGUCAUGCGGGAAUCGUGGAGGCCUAAC